UGCACUCCUUCUGCAACAGGCCUCUGUGUGUCCUUGUCCGGCCUGACAGCAGACACCUAUUACAUGCAUGCUCAGUGAAUAAAUCAAUAAAUAACAAAUUCAGCAGUCCCAGUCUCAAGCGAGCUCUUUUUGGUUCAGACAAGGUGUCUCUGAUUUCCCUUGACUUGCUGCUAAGCUUUCUUCCUACCAUCAGGAUAAGCGGGCCAGCUGAGGACUGCCUGCAGGAGGCUUCCAGAGCACAAGAUGAGGUGGUGGCCGCGCUGCCGCUCAAUUCCUGGGGUUUGACUGAGGACCUGCCACCAGCCUGUUCAGCGCCACGAACAUGUGUGAGUCAGUGCUCAGCAGGAAGAGAGCAAGACAUCUGGACCAAAUCAACAAAGGGCACAUGACCUCAAGCAGGGCAGUGAUGGAGCAAACUGAAGAGCAGAAGCCCGUGGCCUCACUGCGGACACUUCUUGGUGUAGCUAAGAGCUGAGCCCCCCACUUUGGAGUCUAAGUUUGGGACUCUUUGCUGUCACACAGGUGUUCGCCAACAUCUGGUUUGUCAAGGGUCAGAAACAUCAAUCCAGCCCUGUAUGAAUUACAACAUUUCAAGUUAAGUAAAAAUUAAUAAGAUCUGACUGCAGUUAACUCAUGAGCAAAAGGCCAGACGCACUGGAGAGUGACAAGUAGCCGCUCCACCUAGAAUCCUCAUGUUUUGUGGGGGAAAAGAAAAGAAAUGCUAGAAUUUUCUCAGUUGCUCUGAGUUCUGUGCCUUGCUCAGUAACUUGAGAAAAUCCAAAAGAGCAAACAAAGCUCUGAAGCCACGUUCAGAUGCUCUCUGUUGUUUCAAUCAUGACGCGACCGCAUGCGUCAGCUGGCCACCUCGUUUCUGUGAUGACCCACUAACUGAAGGAGAGAAAGCGUCAGAGGACACUUGGGAAGAGCAAAGGGAAAGUUCAAGACGUACGGCUCCCAUCGGGGCAGCCUGAACCUUCGCACACUCAGUACGCCCUGCUCUGUGGAAGACUGAAGGGCAUUUAGAGAGCUGACCCAAUUCCAGCGGCCGGCUCAGAGAGGAUGUAAGAGAAUCCUGUGUCAGACACCAAAAACCCCGUUUCUUCCCACACGAAGGCCAAGUCUGUGCUGGACGUUCUCAGCAGUAGCUACAGAUACCUGUGAGAAUUCUGUGGGCAUCUAAGGACAAAAGCAGGACCUUGGCAGUGGAAGGAUGGGGUACUAGUCUGAGCUACUGAUUAAGACAAAAGCCUAGGCAUUGAUAUGGCAGGAUUCUGCUUUGGUUUAUUUUUUUGAACAAACACUUACAUAGUGCUCCCUACAUUCCAGGGACUAUUCUGAGUAUUGUACUUACUAAUAUCACUUCAUUUAAUCCUCAGAAGAGCCCAUUCAGAUGUGACCAUUAUCAUCCCCAUUAUACAGAUGAGAAAAUCGAGGCCAAAGGGUUAAGUAACUUGCCCACCAGCCUAUACACUUGCCCACCACACUGUGACCUGCAGGGGCUUCCAUGACUCUACCCGAGUGCCAGCUCUCCCUCUGAAGGGAGGGGAGGGGGCUGAGAAACUAGCCAAGCUCUUUAGGUCUUUCCUCAUGCACAUGCUGGAAAAUUUGCUUUACUUUUGCCUCUUUCUGGUUUUACACAUAAGGUAGAAAAAGUUUUGAGCCAAAAAGAUCAUCUAUUUUUAAAAAAUCUCUGGUCAGCCCUGGUGGCCUAGUGGUUAAGUUCAGAACACUCUGCUUCAGCGGCCUGGGUUCGGUUCCCAGGCAUGGACCUACACUGCUCUGUUAGCAGCUGUACUGGUGCUGGCGGCCCACAUAUUAAAAAAUAGAAGAAGACUGGCAUGGAUGUUAGCUCAGGGUGAAUCUUCCUCAGCUAAAACAAAAAACAACCACUCCUUCUCUGGCCUGUUAAGCCAUCCCUUAAAUUCCACCAGCAGAGAUUAAGUUUCCAAGUCAGUAUUUCCCAAGCCAAGCUCUGAAGAACACUCUUUCAGGGGUGUAUUAAAAGGAAUAAGAAGUAAAAAAGAGCUGGGUGGUCAGUUUACAAAAAGGAUGAAUUAUCUGAAGUCCUAAUAUCAUUCCGAU
Molecule: long non-coding RNA, 2082 nt
Filed under: Equus caballus (horse)
Lineage: Eukaryota; Metazoa; Chordata; Mammalia; Perissodactyla; Equidae
Description: lncRNA (ENSECAG00000048736.1)
Source: RNAcentral